GGACCGUGAGAUCAUGACCUGAGCCAAAGUCAGGCAUUUAACCGACUGAGCCCCCCAGGUGCCCCGGGACGCUCCUUCCUGAUAGCAUCUCACGAAGAUCUCCGGUAUGUUGUUCAGAUCCCUCCUUGGAGAGAAAAUGCCAGCGGCCUUUUCUGCUUUGCAUAAUCCACCUUCAUUUUCUGACAACUGCUUUCUCCGAACCCCCUAUGGUUCAUUUUCCCUGCUUUGGCACAUUCGAUUUCAUGGCAGAGAUCCAGGCCAAAGUGGUCAAAUGCCAUCUAAACCACUGACCCAAGAGGACAGAAACGUUUCACGUGAUGAGGAUCCACAGGACCGGGGAUGCCGCUCAUGCGAGCACACUCUUGUUUUCAAGCCAAACACACUCCCCAACUUGGAAACCUUCAAGACCCCCAGCGCCUGUCACAAAAAGGGCAGACAUCUGGACAACCAGACAUCCCAGCUAUGUUCAGUGGGACCCAAAGCUUUUCACUUUCUCUGCCCUGACUCUCCUCUCCCUGCUGUGCCUUUGCAUCUUGCCCUUGCCCCGGUGCCCACCUUUGCUUACAACUCCCCUCCCCGAUGAAUCAAACUCUUUCCUCCCCUUCACCUAAAACAGUGUCUGGUUUACUCCAGAGGGACAGCUGGGAGCCAUGGGUGGGGAUGUUCUGGCAGGGCCAGGAGUAGAUGAGGUGCCUAGGGUCCAAAUCAAAGAGGCACUCACUCUCAGGGUCGUGCAGGCGCAAUGAGCAUCUUCUUCAGUUUUGCACCUCAACCUUGCCUGGUCCCGUGUAGGGCAGGAGAUGUCAGGUGGGUACCCGAGCCAGUGUGGUAGUUCUCAGCAUUGCCUCCUAAGGUAGUGAGCUACCUGUCACUGGAGGCAUUCAAGCUGAAAGUGGUCGGCUGCGUCUUAGGGAUGCUGAAGAGAGCAUUUCUUUAAUGGCUGGAGGUGGACUAGAUGAUUCUGCCUUCCACCCCUGGAAGCUAGGAUCUAAGGAGCCUUUCCUGAUGGUGCAUCUCAGAACUGCGUCUCUUUCCUUCCAGCUCUGUUUUUACCUCCAAGACCACUCAUCCGGCCGUCCACCGCAGGUUACCUCGUGACAGCUCUCGUGCAGCUGGCCUGUCUUGUUAUUUCGGAUUUCACCAGUUUCUGUGUCAUUGCCCUAACGGCGUUCCACAUGCAUCAAGGACAGGGAUCGAACUGCACACUUUCUGUUCUCUCGGACUGGUGGGUCUUGUCAUGCCUAGAGAAAGGAACGAUCGCAACUCGAGCCUUAGUAUUCCUGGGUGUUUAAAAAGACUUGGACUGGUCACCCAGGUGGGAGUUUCUCAUUGCUCAGAAGUGUCUACUCCCCAGAAGAGAGUUCUGCCCAGGAGACACUUGUAGACGAGGGAAAGGUGAGUCUCCCAGGAGUCUGGCUGGCAGGGAUCAGUCUGCUAGAAUUCGAUCACCUUUGGGGAGCGUCCAAAGAGAGUUCUCCAAACGACAAAGCGGAGGACAACACUUGGUCUUUAACUAUUGAGUCACUGAUCAAUGAAAACACCUUGCCAGCCUUCUCUGUGCUAGGCACUCUGCUAGGGAAGCAGGGAAGGAUGAAAACACUAGAAUCUGUUCUGAAGCCUUCAGAGUCUGGGAGCGGGGUGGAGGGAGGCCAGGGGUGGGACCCCGUGAGCUCUGCCCCCCAGAGCCAGCCUGUGCUCAGAGAGGAGCAGCCGAGACAGCCGGGCCGCCUUCCGUCUCUCCGCCACAAUCCCCAGGAGGAAAGGGGUUCUGGAAGGCUGAGGAAAUGACUGAGAGAAGUUGCAGCUGAUCCAGACAGCUCAGAGAGGCUGGAGAUCAGGAGGGAGGCGGGUGUGUUGAGGAACCGGAGGCAAGCUCGGGGCAGGGGGACCGCCAAGGACCCCGCGCAGGUGGAGGAAGAGAGGGCUCUGGAAAGACCUGGCUGUCACUCGCGGGCUGCUAAGAACAGGACUUUGGUUGCUGUGGGAAAGGCAAACGCUAUUUUCCUUUCUGUCACUUAAGACAAUGGGGUGUUGUGACACUCCGGAAUCUGAAGAUAAAUGUUUAAUAAAAGGAUUCAAUAUGA
Molecule: long non-coding RNA, 2084 nt
Organism: Leopardus geoffroyi (Geoffroy's cat)
Lineage: Eukaryota; Metazoa; Chordata; Mammalia; Carnivora; Felidae
Exons: 2
Source: RefSeq, a predicted model, not a curated record